Molecule: long non-coding RNA, 576 nt
Organism: Pseudopipra pipra
Lineage: Eukaryota; Metazoa; Chordata; Aves; Passeriformes; Pipridae
Exons: 3
Source: RefSeq, a predicted model, not a curated record
AGAGGCCAUGGUCUGCUUUACCUUUCCCUUCCUUUGAAGGAGCCCACUUUAUCAUUUCCUAGCCCUGGGAUGCAAGCCCCGUAGCCCCACUGUUACCUUUGUGGGACAUGACUGUGGUUGGAUCACACUUGGGAGCAAAGGUGGCAGUAGAGAGGUGCCCUGCUACCAGGGCGGAGGGCUGACCUUCCUAAGACAAGAAGCACCACCAGUCCCUGUUGCGAAGUAUCAUGGAGAGGGGAUCGUGGAAAAUGUUGAAGAGGGGGAGAAGGAUUCAUCGGCACAGACAGACACAUUUUUGCAGAGGCAGAUGACCAGUUCUCCACAGAGCGUCCAGAGCUUUCAUGAAAUUCCUCUGUGAGAAAAGAAUUUCAGGCUGUAAUGGAGGAGUCAGAUCUCUACUGGUUCCAGCCUUCUCAUUGACUCAAUGCUUAUGGAGCAUGCAUAUAAUGGUUUUUCCCCUGAGAAACCAAACUUAUCCUAAAAUGCCAUGGAAUUAAAGGGAUGGAUUCCCCUCCUGCUUACCUCUGCCAGAACACCCCUCAUGUUAACAGCUCUCUGCAGCAAAAAUAAAACAAA